RNAcentral lists this unclassified non-coding RNA (147 nucleotides) under Limosilactobacillus reuteri. Its description in RNAcentral is "Lactobacillus reuteri sau-50". Lineage: Bacteria; Bacillati; Bacillota; Bacilli; Lactobacillales; Lactobacillaceae. The record is from RNAcentral.
UGAAUGCUGGUACCUUGCUUGCAGGAAUGUUGAUUUCUUCUCCAGUUUGUGGGUUGCGGCCCUUACGUGCAGCACGUUGACGUACUUCGAAGUUACCGAAGCCGAUCAAUUGAACCUUUUCACCCUUAGCUAAAGAUGCUUGAAUUG